AGUGAACGCUGGCGGUAGGCCUAACACAUGCAAGUCGAACGGUAACAGAAAACAGGUUUCUUCUUACCUGAGGAGUGUGGGAGGGGGGUGUAAUGUCCGGGGAACUGUCCUAUUUAGUGGGGUAUCUACUGGAGACAGUAACGAUUAUCCCAUAACGUCCCUAGGCGUGAAAGGAGGGGCUUAUCGCAUCUUGCCCUCUUGUGUGCCCCGAUGUGGGAUUAGCUAGUUGGCGGGGUAAAGGCCCACCAAGGCGACUCCCCGUAGCUGGUCUGAGAGGAUGACCAGCCACACUGGAACUGAGACACGGUCCAGACUCCUACGGGAGGCAGCAGUGGGGAAUAUUGGACAAUGGGCGCAAGCCUGAUGCAGCCAUACCGCGUGUAUGAAGAAGGCCUUCGGGUUGUAAAGUACUUUUGUCGGGAAGGAAGAGAAGAAAGUUAAUACCUCGGCUUACUGACGUUACCCAAAGAAGAAGCACCGGCUAACUUCGUG
This 492-nucleotide ribosomal RNA is filed under the name uncultured bacterium. Its description in RNAcentral is "partial 16S ribosomal RNA". It matches the Rfam family "Bacterial small subunit ribosomal RNA", at positions 29 to 507 of the family's 1533-position model. The record is from RNAcentral.